GCCAACAGCUAGCACUUUGCAACUCUCACAUGGUCGCCUACUUGAAGCUAAGCAGGGCUGUGCCCUGUGCUCCUUACAGUACCUGGAUUGGAGACCACAUGGGAAAGCUAGGUUGCUGCCGGAA
Molecule: ribosomal RNA, 124 nt
Filed under: Danio rerio (zebrafish)
Lineage: Eukaryota; Metazoa; Chordata; Actinopteri; Cypriniformes; Danionidae
Source: RNAcentral